UGGCCUAGGCCGCCGUCUCGGCGUGCCGCUCGUGCCUAUUACCUUGACUAUGCGCACCUUUGUUGUUCCCUCGGCAGUCCGCUGCCGCUAGGGACCCCGAAAACCCCUUUGUAUUAGCAGUAAACUUCUGAAACAAACCUAAAUAUUUACAACUUUCAACAAUGGAUCUCUUGGUUCU
Molecule: unclassified non-coding RNA, 178 nt
Filed under: rhizosphere metagenome
Description: partial ribosomal RNA internal transcribed spacer region
Source: RNAcentral